RNAcentral lists this ribosomal RNA (253 nucleotides) under uncultured bacterium. RNAcentral describes it as "partial 16S ribosomal RNA". It matches the Rfam family "Bacterial small subunit ribosomal RNA", at positions 524 to 776 of the family's 1533-position model. The record is from RNAcentral.
GACGUAGGGGGCAAGCGUUGUUCGGAUUCACUGGGCGUAAAGGGUGCGUAGGCGGUCGGGUAAGUCUGAUGUGAAAUCUCACAGCUUAACUGUGAAACUGCAUUGGAUACUAUCCGGCUAGAGGAAUGGAGGGGAGACUGGAAUACUUGGUGUAGCAGUGAAAUGCGUAGAUAUCAAGUGGAACACCAGUGGCGAAGGCGAGUCUCUGGACAUUUCCUGACGCUGAGGCACGAAAGCCAGGGGAGCAAACGGG